CGUUUACUUUUCUACAUUGGUUAGAGGUAUAGGGGGAGGGUUGAGAUCUCACAAACAUGUUUAACCCCGCUGCAUUUUUGCGCCUGUCCCAAGUCAGGAGCCUCUGGCCUUUGUUAGUCUUGUAUUAUUUUAAUUUUAGUUUCUUGUGUACAAUUUGGAAAUUAGUAUGGCGUUCAUUAUCACUGGACUAGUAUAUAUUUGUUUAGGGGCCAGCUGAAGGACACCUCCGGGUGCGGGAAUUUCUCGCUACAUUGAAGACCUGUUGGUGACCCUCUGCUGUUGUUUUUUAUUUGGUCGGGUUGUUGUCUCCUUGACACAUUCCCCAUUUCCAUUCUCAAUUUUACAG
This 346-nucleotide long non-coding RNA is filed under the name Mytilus galloprovincialis (Mediterranean mussel). The record is from RNAcentral. Lineage: Eukaryota; Metazoa; Mollusca; Bivalvia; Mytilida; Mytilidae.